UACAGUUCUACAGUUUAGUUUCUGCAAGAAACUGAAUUCUGCCAAUACCUUUCCCCAGUCAAGGCUUCAAUGAGACCACAGCCUGGCUGACAUCUUGACUGCAACCUUGUGAGACCCUAAGCAGAAGAUUCACCUACCCACAAUUGGACUCCUGACCCACAGAAAUUGCGAGAUAACAAACUGUUUCCUGCAAAUUGUAUAAACUUCAAGCUUCACAAAACCUGGAUGUGUUCCUGCUGAAGAGAGGGUGAGACAGUUACUGCCAGAAGAAAAUAUUUGAUGAAAAUGAAGGAACUUCCAAGUGCAUUUAAACGAACAUCAAACUCUUCAACUUCAGUAGAAAGCAUGUUUACUCCCCAGCCUUGCUUCAAAAUCCUCUCCUUUCUGUGUUGUCCAAUCCUAAACGCAUAUCAGGUUCCUUUUCCAACCCCAGUCAAGCUCUCCAUGGAAAGCCCUGCCUCCAAGAC
Rhinolophus ferrumequinum (greater horseshoe bat) is the source of this 467-nucleotide long non-coding RNA. RefSeq lists it as uncharacterized. The transcript has 3 exons. Lineage: Eukaryota; Metazoa; Chordata; Mammalia; Chiroptera; Rhinolophidae. The record is from RefSeq and is a predicted model, not a curated record.